UCAUCUAGAUAUGCAAACCUCUCAAAUCUCGCCACCACCAAGGCCAAGGCUAUUAAUUUUGAAAAGCGAAGACAUAAUUGGUGGGGACGACGAUUCAUAAUAUAAAACUAUUUUUUUCUAGAGAUAGAUAAUAUGUUAUUCGUUUCGUUUAAUUCAUUUAGAAAUAAACUUAGCUUUAAAUGUGAAUCAAGUACUAGAAUUCGAAUUGGUGGGGACGACAUUUAUUUCAUUAGAAAUAUUAUAAAACUAUUUAAUCUGCUGUUUGUAUAGCUUUAGAUUUUAUAUAAAUUUAAAUAAUAAAUUGUGAAUAUAACGGUGUUUUAUCAGAACUGUCCCACUGAAGUUUUGUUUCAGAGAUUCUAUUUUGGGGCAAAAGCUUUCAAAUCGGUCUAAAAUCGA
Molecule: long non-coding RNA, 399 nt
Filed under: Ananas comosus (pineapple)
Lineage: Eukaryota; Viridiplantae; Streptophyta; Magnoliopsida; Poales; Bromeliaceae
Description: long non-coding RNA (ACOM_LNC012824)
Source: RNAcentral